Molecule: ribosomal RNA, 439 nt
Filed under: uncultured bacterium
Lineage: Bacteria
Description: partial 16S ribosomal RNA
Rfam family: Bacterial small subunit ribosomal RNA
Source: RNAcentral
CUACGGGACGCACCAGUGAGGAAUAUUGCACAAUGGGGGGAACCCUGAUGCCGCAACGCCGCGUGGAGGAUGACGCAUUUCGGUGUGUAAACUCCUUUUGUAUGUCAAGAAAAUGACGGUAGCAUAUGAAUAAGCACCGGCUAACUCCGUGCCAGCAGCCGCGGUAAUACGGAGGGUGCAAGCGUUACUCGGAAUCACUGGGCGUAAAGGACGCGUAGGCGGGUUGGAAAGUCAGGUGUGAAAUCCUACAGCUUAACUGUAGAACUGCACUUGAAACUUCUAAUCUAGAGUAUGGGAGGGGGAGAUGGAAUUAGUGGUGUAGGGGUAAAAUCCGUAGAUAUCACUAGGAAUACCUAAAGCGAAGGCGAUCCCCUGGAACAUUACUGACGCUAAGGUGCGAAAGCGUGGGGAGCAAACAGGAUUAGAUACCCGAGUAGUC